GUCCCAAGGGUUGGGCUGUUCGCCCAUUAAAGCGGUACGCGAGCUGGGUUCAGAACGUCGUGAGACAGUUCGGUCCCUAUCCGUCGCGGGCGCAGGAAAUUUGAGAGGAGCUGUCCUUAGUACGAGAGGACCGGGAUGGACAUACCUCUGGUGUACCAGUUGUCGUGCCAACGGCAUCGCUGGGUAGCUAUGUAUGGACGGGAUAAGUGCUGAAAGCAUCUAAGCAUGAAGCCCCCCUCAAGAUGAGAUUUCCCAUUCCGCAAGGAAGUAAGAUCCCUGAAAGAUGAUCAGGUUGAUAGGUCUGAGGUGGAAGUGUGGCGACACAUGGAGCUGACAGAUACUAAUCGAUCGAGGACUUAACCAUAUUU
Molecule: ribosomal RNA, 368 nt
Filed under: Enterobacter mori
Lineage: Bacteria; Pseudomonadati; Pseudomonadota; Gammaproteobacteria; Enterobacterales; Enterobacteriaceae
Description: bacterial LSU rRNA
Rfam family: Bacterial large subunit ribosomal RNA
Source: RNAcentral